Molecule: ribosomal RNA, 460 nt
Filed under: uncultured bacterium
Lineage: Bacteria
Description: partial 16S ribosomal RNA
Rfam family: Bacterial small subunit ribosomal RNA
Source: RNAcentral
CCUACGGGUGGCAGCAGUGAGGAAUAUUGGUCAAUGGACGCAAGUCUGAACCAGCCAUGCCGCGUGCAGGAAGACUGCCCUAUGAGUUGUAAACUGCUUUUGUACGAGGGUAAACGCAGAUACGCGUAUCUGUUUGAUUGUAUCGUACGAAUAAGGAUCGGCUAACUCCGUGCCAGCAGCCGCGGUAAUACGGAGGAUUCAAGCGUUAUCCGGAUUUAUUGGGUUUAAAGGGUGCGUAGGCGGUCGGUUAAGUUAGAGGUGAAAUCCCGAGGCUCAACGUCGGAAUUGCAAUUGAUACUGGUCGGCUAGAGAGUAGUUGUGGUAGGCGGAAUGUAUGGUGUAGCGGUGAAAUGCUUAGAGAUCAUACAGAACACCGAUUGCGAAGGCAGCUUACCAAGCUACUACUGACGUUGAUGCACGAAAGCGUGGGGAGCAAACAGGAUUAGAUACCCCAGUAGUC